GUACACACCGCCCGUCACACCAUGGGAGUGGGAUGCAAAAGAAGUAGUUAGCUUAACCUUCGGGAGGGCGAUUACCACUUUGUGUUUCAUGACUGGGGUGAAGUCGUAACAAGGUAACCGUAGGUGAACCUGCAGAAGGAUCA
This 143-nucleotide ribosomal RNA is filed under the name uncultured eukaryote. Its description in RNAcentral is "partial small subunit ribosomal RNA". It matches the Rfam family "Bacterial small subunit ribosomal RNA", at positions 1383 to 1525 of the family's 1533-position model. The record is from RNAcentral.